GCUUUCCUACGGGACGCAGCAGUUAGGAAUAUUCGUCAAUGGGGGAAACCCUGAACGAGCAAUGCCGCGUGAGGGAAGAAGGUUUUCGGAUUGUAAACCUCUGUCUUAAGGGACGAUAAUGACGGUACCUUAGGAGGAAGCUCCGGCUAACUACGUGCCAGCAGCCGCGGUAAUACGUAGGGAGCGAGCGUUGUCCGGAAUUACUGGGUGUAAAGGGAGUGUAGGCGGGAUGGUAAGUUAGGUGUGAAAU
This 250-nucleotide ribosomal RNA is filed under the name uncultured bacterium. Its description in RNAcentral is "partial 16S ribosomal RNA". It matches the Rfam family "Bacterial small subunit ribosomal RNA", at positions 333 to 600 of the family's 1533-position model. The record is from RNAcentral.